GGCCCGUGAGGCAGCCGGAACCUCUGCCCUCUCAGCAGGUUCUCUGCCUGCCGUAAACGACCAAAAGCAAAGCAGCCGCUGGAGCCUGCUGCGAUGGGAAGGCUUAGUCCUGUGAGCAGUGUGGAGAUGAGAAGGCAGAAGUGGGGGGGUGGGCAGCUCCACUUUGACCUGUUUAUGUCUCUUUCUCAGGGAAUAUUAAGCAGAACCCCAACACACAGAGCCUCUCAAAGACAGGGACUGAGCUGAAGAUCAUCAACGACUUCCUCUUUCAGAGCCAGGUGGACAACAUCAACCUGUUCAAGGUAGAGCUGUUGCCUUUCAAUCUGGGCCCAUCAUGUGUCCUUCUUGGCGCCAGCUAUGGGCG
RNAcentral lists this long non-coding RNA (364 nucleotides) under Cavia porcellus (domestic guinea pig). Its description in RNAcentral is "lncRNA (ENSCPOG00000038008.1)". Lineage: Eukaryota; Metazoa; Chordata; Mammalia; Rodentia; Caviidae. The record is from RNAcentral.